Non-coding RNA from Sebastes umbrosus (honeycomb rockfish), 915 nucleotides. Lineage: Eukaryota; Metazoa; Chordata; Actinopteri; Perciformes; Sebastidae. The record is from the annotation of a RefSeq genome assembly.
GCAAAGACAACACAAUACUCCACAACGUCCACUAGAGGGCCACAUUAUCCAGUAGGAGGUGCACUACUCGUGCACUGUGUUCAACCAUUCAGUCAAUCACAAGUGCUGCUGUGAAGAGAACAAUUGUCAGACUGAAUGUUGAACAUCAGCUAGUUUCUCCUGUUGAUUUAAACCUUGUUGUAGAGAUGGAACAUUGGCUGUGGAUUAUUCUUGCUGCUCUUUUCUUUGAGUGUAAAGGAGAAGACAGAGUUACCCAGACAACAGGAGAUGUCAUCGCUACUGAAGGACACACACUCACACUGGAAUGUACAUUUGAGACAAGUGACCCAAGUCCUACUUUGUUCUGGUACAAACAGGAAGUUCAGGAUUCCCCAAAGUACAUGCUGAAAAGUUUCUCAAACAACGUAGAUAAAGCUCCAGAGUUCCAGAAAGAAAGAUUUGAUGCUAGAAUCAACAAGACAUCAGUUCCUCUGAGGAUCCAGAAGCUUCAGCUGUCAGACUCUGCUGUGUACUACUGUGCUCUGCAGCCCACAGUGACAGGAAACACCAAAACUCUGUACAAAAACCUUUGGAGCAAAGACAACACAAUACUCCACAACGUCCACUAGAGGGAGUCACACUCUGUUCCACUUCAACAGGAGCUGAUGAUCCAGUCUACAUUGUUUUAUUCAACAGUAACUGGUGAUAAUGAGCUGUUGUGGGAUAUUAUUUAUAUGAACAAUAGCUCAUCAUAACUGAGUAGAAAAGCUGAUCCUCUGAUAUCUAAUAGAGCUCAGAUUAAACUCUGGAGGUCAGUAAUUUAGUGAGGAACUCUCUGAUAUAUUCAUAACUGACUAAAUGUGAAACUAUUUAAAAAAUGCCACCAUCAUAUCGGAGUAGGGAUGAUAUCGAUUAAUGGACGAUCCAUUAAUCGGU